Molecule: long non-coding RNA, 36395 nt
Filed under: Prunus persica (peach)
Lineage: Eukaryota; Viridiplantae; Streptophyta; Magnoliopsida; Rosales; Rosaceae
Description: long non-coding RNA (PPER_LNC008258)
Source: RNAcentral
UGGGCAUGAUAUUUCCCCUAUAAGACUCUAUCUUAUUGGGAAAGGACCCCCUAAUCAUUUUAAUUUUGAGAAACUGGAAUAUCAAUAUAACUCAAGGUCCCAAUCUGUAUGAGGAACCAUGUAAAAAGUUAUAUGGUAAGCAUUUUAGUCAAAUUCUUGUGCAAAUCUGCUGCCAUUUGGGGAUUAACUACAAGAAGAUAAUACUAUAAUGCAAACCAUAAGACUAGAAAGGAUGAGGAUUUGAAAUAUAUUGUAUUACUCCCACAUGCUCCUGGAGAACAACAAAGAAGUUUACACAUGUUUAAAAGACAGAAUUUGACUGCCUUUGGGUGGGGGGAUGAUAUUUGGACCAAUGGUUCUAGGGAGUUCAUGAUAUCAUCACUUGUCUGCUUCAUAAAUUUAUAUGUUUCUGCUCAUGAAGCAGCUUCAGGAUUUGAGAAGGUUUGCUUUCACCACAAGAUGUGAGUUGAUUCCGUGGAUUAUCAGUGGUAGCCUCUUCUUCAUCCCAACUCAGUGAGUUCUGCAAUGAGGAUGCUUUGGAUAUGAUCAUAUCUAAAUUCUUUUAUCUUGGCUCGGUAAGCUGGGAAAUGAGGAUGGUUCGGAUGGCUUGGAUGACUGAUUCAUGUACACUCACACACUUAAGUGGGAAGUGAGAUAAAGGAAGGCGUUUUCACUGCAGGGGAUUGUGAUACCUCCCAUGGAAUGAUCAUAUCCGAAUUCUUCUUCAGCUUGACUCAACAAAUCCAGGAAUAAAGGCUCAUUCAAAUAUGAUAUUGGAAUCACAAAUCGCUUCUUCUGGCUCUCCCCAACAUAGACUGCAAAGUAGCCUUUUGGGAUAUCUAAGGUCUUUGAAUCUGCUGUCUGGCUUGAACUAGAUAGAGAUCGAAUGAGACUUCUCUUUGCAUUAACAAUUGCAGGCAACCGGAAACCCAUGGUCUUAUACAUGCUCAAAGUACAAAAGAAGAAGAAAGGAAUUCAAAGGACCUGAAUUUGGAAAGCAGAGAAAGCUAUGCUUGAGAAGGUGAAGACUUGAGUUGCUCAUGAUGAACUUGGUCAUGUGUAUAUAUAGAUCAAGAGUAUCCAGAAAAUCAACAGCUACAUGAAACAAUUGGUGAAGAGGCACUGAGAUGGGCUCCAAUGAGGGACACUUGAUUGUGAGAAAUCACAUGGGUUUGUCGUCCGUCUAACGCAAUUUGUCCCCAAAAGAUUUCUCCCGGAACUCUUCCUUACCUGCUCUAGGUAACAGACAACAAAAGGACCACCAGAGAUGAUUCAAUCCAAAAGAAUUAUGUCUGUUAGGUAAGUAGCAUUUAUGCUUGAGACAUGCACUUCUCUUUGUUCACACUAAUUCAACUGACCACAUAAUCGGACUAGUUUACUACAAAUUUUCUUGAUUAGGUCUGCUAAUGAAUUGCCCUCUCACUUCAUCAAAAGACCAACAACACUGCAUAUGUCGUGGUCCUACCCAACACUGAUACAAUUGUGUUGUGUGGGAGCAGCAAUGCACCCUAUCAUGUGGCUUUGUAGUUUCGUCUCUGAUCUUCAGUCUCAGCAAACAAAGGAGGUAUUUAUUUCAUUUUGUUAGGCCAAUCCGGACUUAACCAGAAAACAGUAUUCAUUUAAAUAGUUGACAGUAAUUGAUCAAGAAAACUGAAGUUAAUAAAUUGAACUUAAGGUACUCUUUCUAUACUCAAUUUUUAAAAAACCAUUUUCCAUUGCCAGUCUUGUUUAGGCAAGUUCGGCCAAGAGCCUACUAAAAAACCAUUUUCCAUUGCUAGGUUGAUAAUUAAUCUCUUCUUGCCUUUGCUUAUGGCAACAAUUGAAGAUAUCUUAGAGGAUUAAUAUUUAUCAUACAUCUAUUCUUUUUUAUGAAAGACACGAUCGAGCUAGUAUCAUACACCUAUUCUUUGUGACAUACAUAAAUAUGGAGUAAAUCAAGAAAAUAGUCGUGUAUUAUUUGUGAUCCGAUGUAAACUUGGCUUUCACUCACUAGUGCAGGGAAUUCUUGCACAUAUAUUGUGCAAUUUUUUAACCAAAGAACCUUAGUGGCUCGGCUCAGUGCCUCGUUCUAUUCCCUCGUGAUGACUCUCCUUCUCAUUAUUCUUUCAGGGUAAAGAUUCCCAAUAGAACUGAUAAUAUUUUAUUUUGGAAGGAAUGUUAAAAAGUGGUGUACUUCAAGUUCAUGGUUCCAUUUGGCAUGAGGCACCGUGGAUAUAGGAAGUACUAAGUAAACCAUUAUACUUUCUUUUUUAUAGUAAACCAUUGAUGAUUUUAUUUUAUGACAGAGCUACAAGUAUAAUGAAAAAUAAGACAAGAAAGUGGAUCGGGAUUUAAAUUUACAUACAAGAAAGUCAUAGCAUCCAACCCAAAUAUGGAGAGGACCAACAUCUUUUAUACUACAAUGCUCCGAAUGUACUCUCAAUGAUUUCAAAAUUUCGAUCAUGAUUUUGGACUAAAGUUUUUCAACGUCCAUAGUGUCUUCGUUUGUCGGAUUCAUGAACUUUUUAACUUUAUGCUCAGAUCACAAGCAGCCUCAGGCUUACAGAUUGCUUCCUCUCAGCACAAGAUGUAAGUCGACUCAGUGGACGAUCAAGAAUAGCCCCGUUCUCAUCAUUACUUAGUGAGUUCUGAAAUGAGGAUGCUUAUACAUGAAUGAAUUUGGAUCAUAGUUUCUUUUCUUUAGUGUUCACUCAUACACUUAAGCGGGAAGUGAGAUGAAGGAAGGUGUCUUCACUGCAGGGGAUUGUGAUACCACCCAUGGGAUGAUCAUAUCCAAAUUCUUCUUCAGCUUGACUCAGCAAAUCCAGGAACAAAGGCUCAUUCAAGUAAGAUAUUGGAAUCAAAAACUGCGUCUUUUGGCUCCCCCCAACAUAGACUGCAAAAUAGCCUUUUGGGAUAUCUAAGGUCUUUGAAUCAGCUGUCUGACUUGAACUAGAUAGAGAUCGAAUGAGACUUCUCUUGGCGUUAACAAUUCCGGGCAACCGGAAACCCAUGAUUUAGUAUUCUCAAAAGGACAACCGGAUUAUAUUGAAGCUUGGUAUACUAUCUUUCUUCACCAAUCUGAAGAUUUUAGUCAUUCCUGGUUUAUUAAUUUUGAUAAUAAGUUCAAAAGCCCAUUCCCCUACUGGUUUCUUCACUGGUGGGAAAAAUAUGGUCCAGUUGAUGAAAUUCUUCCAGUAUCAGUUCUUGAGUUGAUCCGCCAUUUUACUAAAAGAGCCAAGUUUUCCCUAGUUGAUUUAUUCUUUCCCAAACAGUUGCUGUUUAUUGCCAGAUACAAGGUACCUUGGAUCCUUAAAUGGUCCUAUGCCAUCACCAAGGACACCCGUGUAUUUGCCCGCCAAUUCUCAAUCAAAUGAGUCAAGAAAUGAUGGAGUUCUGUAAGAAAGAAAUUGAAGAGUUGCUUAAUCUUGAGUCAAUCAAAAAGCACAAGACUGAUGGAAACAAUUUCCUGCAUAUUGGUCUUGUUCAAGUCGCCGUUAAGCCCCUAACCAGGUUAGGUUUGAAAGCCUCCAUACUGCUCUGUUUACGCGAUGCCCGGUUCACCGCGUUCAGUGACAGUACGCUAGGAGUUAUUGAGUCCAGUUUGUGUAACGGUCCAGUUCAUUUUGAUUGUUACCCAGACUUCACUGUAAGCCUUAGUGAUCCACAUAUAUUGAGAACCCUAACUCUCAAUAUUAAGACUGAAGGUUAUAAUGUCCUCCCAGGAACCCAACCUUUAGCAUUAGUUUACAGAAUUUACUAUAAGGUCACAGGAACCAAUAUGAACUUCCAGGCCUUAAACAAAAGCCCAAAGGAUCAGACAGUCCUGAUCCAGAGUCACACCUCAGACGCCCAUAUUCAAGUUCCCCAGACCAUUAAAUGGUCAGAAGUUGCCCUUCCAACAGAUUGGACCUUAGUUACCGAGAGCCAACCAGCUCCGAUUCAACGUAGUCUAAACAAUUUAGACUACAUCCAGCAGUACUUAGAUGGCACGGUUAAGAUUAGAUUCGAUAGCCAGCCUCUACAUAAGUCUAAAGUCCAGUUACACCAGUUACCAACCCCAGGUCAGUCACAAAGGCAUGCCCCAGCUAGGCACUCCUUUACUGCCUCAUCCUCAACUCUAGAACGAGACCUAGAGUUAGAAAAAACCAUGAUAGAUUUAAAGCUUGAGUCCCUGAGAAGAUCCUCUCAGGUAACCCAACCCUGCUACGGCACGGUUCCAGUAGAAGAAAAGUCAGAAUCCCCUGAGUCACCUACCCAGUCUGACUUCAUAGUUGAAAACCAGUUAAGAACCCUUAAUAGAAAAUUUAAAAUUGAUUGGUCACGUCUAAACAAACAUCUCAAAGCCCCUGAGAACCUGUCUAGACGAGAUAGUUAUCACCAAGCCUUUCCUGAUAGUAGCCGCCGCUUAGAAAUCUUUAGUGAAUGGAAAGAUUACAUGCGGUCAGCCCAAGUUGAAAUUUUCUACCUUGAUUUUGUUGAAAGCCGUUAUAUGUCAAAUGAUGAGUUAAAAACCUUAACUCAGCAAAAAUGGAAAAUGGCAGAUAAGUCUGUCGUUGAGUCUAGCCAUCCUCCAGUAGAAACCAUAAUUAUUGAGCAUAAAGAUACUCUUAUUCCUGCUACUCCUUUCAAAACAUUUGAAAGCAGUGACAGUAAUAGAAGAAUUCUUGAGCAAAAUAAUUAUACCAACCAGAGUCUAAUUGUUAUAGGAAAACAGUUGGAUACAAUUGAAACUAAAAUUGAUAAGAUAGGUUCUACAGACGUAGAGUCUAAAAAGAAAAUUGAAAAACCAAUUGUCCAGUUCCAGGAUCUUAGGUCUAGCCCGACCCUUAAGAUCACACCUACAAUAAAGAAAAUAGAAGACAUGUUAGCCCAGUUGACCCCUGCCAAAGUUGAAAAAACUGAGAAAUCUGGUCUUAAAACACUGGAUGCCUUUGCAGUAGAAAAUACCUCUGAGUCUGAGUCUUCAGAAGUAAGCAAUAUUUCUAAAAUUGAAAAAGCCUUUCAAACUUUAGAAAUCCAAGUUGAACCCAAAGUUAAGAAAUUAGAAAAGUUUGUCAGCCCCAGUAGUCUGACCAAAAAUUGGUAUCCCAGACCAACACCUCCUGACAUUCAAUUUGAAGAAAGAAACCUGCAGACCCAGUUCUCUGUUUCUUCCGACAAAUUGUAUGAAUGGAAUAUUGAUGGUCUCUCUGAGCAAGAGAUCCUCAAUAAGUUACAACAUAUGUCCAUGGUUGCCAAUAGUUAUAUCACCAAUCACAGUUUCAGACAGUCUGAAAUUGUCCCUCUGUUAGUCACAGGUUUCACCGGUACUCUCAGAAGUUGGUGGGAUAAACACCUGAGUCCUGAGUCUAAAAGCCGUAUAACCUUUGCUGUAAAACUGAAUGAUGACGGUCACCCUAUCUUUGACGAACGAAUAGGUCAAGGUAUAGAAGACGGUGUCAACACCCUGUUUUACACCAUAAUCGAUCACUUCAUAGGAACCCCUAGUAAUCAAACUGCUAGGAUCCAUGACCAGUUAAGUAAUCUUAGAUGCCCAAAGUUGUCCGAUUUCAGAUGGUAUAAGGAUGUCUUCAUCUCUAGAGUCAUGCUUAGAGACGAUAGUAACCAACCAUUCUGGAAAGAGAAAUUUGUUAAUGGUUUGCCAAACCUAUUUGCCCAUAAGAUCAGAACUACCCUCAGUAAUGAAUUAGGUCAUAUUGAUUGGGAUAGUUUAACUUAUGGUAACAUUGUAAGCACAAUUAAUCAAGUUGGCAUGAAAAUGUGUGUUGAUUACAAAAUCGGAAAACAAAUACAGUCCGAUAGGAAAUCAGCCAAAUAUGAGUUAGGAAACUUCUGUGAACAAUACGGUCUCAGUAGCAUUCCGCCCUCUAGAAGAAAUAAGUCUAAGCCAAGUCACCUUAGGAAACGUCGGUUUUCCUCUAAAAGAAAACAUUUUGCAGUUAAAAGUGAUAAUGAGUUUUAUAAGAAAAGAAAAAGUUUUAAAAGAAAAAAUUGGUCUAAAGCCCCCAGAAAAGCCCAGAAGAGUCGACCCAAAACCGAUAAGUCCAAAGUUAAAUGUUUUAAAUGUCAAAAAUUUGGUCAUUAUGCCUCUGAGUGUAAAGUUAAAGAUGCCAUUAAGCAGUUGCAGAUCUCAGAAGCUGAAAGAGAAAAGUUGAUCCAAGUUUUAGAGUUGCGAGACUCUGAAACUAGCAGUCCCGAAACCUUAGUUGCCAGCUCUGGAUAUGAUUCUGAACAAGCUUCAGAUUCCCAGCCUAGUUCCCCUGAUGUCCAAUUUGGUUGCACCGAUAAGUGUUGUAAUAGAUUAAAAUCUAUUUUUGUUCUUACCAAACAGGAAGAACAAGAAGAGUUGUUAAUCGACUUAAUCAGCCGAGUAGAAAACCCUGAGUUAAAGUCCGAUUAUUUGAAAAAAUUGCGAAAAGUCAUUAGUCAAGAAAGCUCUAGUAGUCCUAAACCGCAGCCAGUCAGUUUAGCCACUACUAUAGAAAAGUUCGCUCAGAAAAAGAAAGAAGUUACCUUACAAGACCUCCAGUUAGAAGUCAAAUUAGUCAAACAAGAAUUAGCCGAGUUAAGACAGAUUAGUAACCAGUUGCAGGUUGAAAACCAUACAAUCAGGCAAGACUUAACAAGUCUUCAAAAAGGCAAAAUGCCUUUAGAGCCCAGUAACCAGUCAGACAGCCCUGCUGGUUCUGACGAAGAAACCCCAGUUGUCAACCUAAUCAAACAAGUCAAUUUCCGAAAAUGGUAUUCGAAAGUUACAAUAGUUGUCAAAGAUUUUGAGUUUACCACAGUUGCCUUAUUUGAUUCAGGAGCCGACCUUAACUGUAUUCAGGAAGGUCUAAUUCCUACUAAGUACUACCAGAAGUCUAGAGAAACCCUAAGCACUGCUUCAGGAAAAUCUCUUCAGCUGAAUUAUGAGUUGCCUAAAGCCCAUAUUUGCCAAAACAGAGUUUGUUUUAAAACUUCGUUUGUUUUAGUUAAAAAUAUUACUGAUGAGGUUAUCUUAGGAUUACCCUUCAUAAGUCUGCUUUAUCCCUUCCAGGUAGAAUACGACGGUGUCAUUUCUACCCAAUUAGGUGAGAAAGUUAAGUUUAGUUUCCUUUCUAAACCUGAGUUGCAUAAUCUGAAAGCCUUACAGAAACAGUCUGUCUCUAGGUCCCUUCAGGUUGUCCAAAAAACUAACCAGUUGAAAUUUCUUAAGGAAGAAAUUAAGUUUAAGAGAGUUGAACAACAACUUGCCAGUCAGUCCUUACAGUUGCAAAUUCAAAAAUUUGAACAAAGAUUAAAAGAAGAAAUUUGUUCUGAGUUGCCCACAGCCUUUUGGUAUAGGAAGCAGCAUGUCGUCCGUCUUCCCUACAUCAAAACCUUUAGUGAGAAAAAUAUCCCCACUAAAGCCAGGCCAAUCCAAAUGAGUCAAGAAAUGAUGGAGUUCUGUAAGAAAGAAAUUGAAGAGUUGCUUCAAAAGAAAAUAAUUCGCAAGAGUAAGUCCCCCUGGUCAUGUCCUGCUUUUUAUGUCCAGAAAAAUGCUGAACUAGAAAGAGGUGUUCCCAGAUUAGUUAUCAAUUAUAAGCCCCUUAAUGCGGUCCUAGAAUGGAUUAGGUAUCCCAUACCUAAUAAAAGAGAUCUCAUUAAUCGGUUAGAAAAAGCAGUUGUCUAUUCUAAGUUUGAUUUGAAAAGUGGUUUCUGGCAAAUCCAAAUAGAUGAGUCAGACAGAUAUAAGACUGCAUUUGUCACUCCCUUUGGUCAUUACGAGUGGAAUGUAAUGCCCUUUGGUUUGAAAAAUGCUCCUAGUGAAUUCCAGAAUAUCAUGAAUGAUAUAUUCAAUCCUUACAGUCAGUUUUCGAUUGUUUAUAUUGAUGAUGUUCUAAUCUUUUCUGAGUCAAUAGAACAACAUUGGAAACAUUUGCAUAAGUUCCUUCAAGUUGUCAAACAAAAUGGUUUAGUUGUUUCUGCCAAAAAGAUCAAGUUGUUUCAAACCAAUAUUCGUUUUCUUGGUUUCAAUAUUUGUCAGUCGCAAAUCUCCCCAAUUGAUCGAGUUAUCCAGUUUGCUGAUAAGUUCCCUGAUCAAAUUCUUGAUAAGAGUCAACUUCAGAGGUUUUUAGGAUCCCUAAAUUAUAUCUCUGACUUCUAUCAGAAUCUGAGAAAACAGUGUAAGCCCCUAUUUGAUAGGUUGCAGAGUAAUCCUCCUCCUUGGUCGUCUACUCACACUGAAGUUGUUAAACAGAUUAAAUCCCAUGUCAAGACACUUCCCUGUCUUGGUAUUCCUUCAGUUGAUUCAUUCAAAAUAGUUGAAACCGAUGCCUCUGACAUAGGUUAUGGUGGCAUUCUUAAGCAAAAAGUCAGUCCUAGUUCUCCAGAACAAAUUGUUCGAUUCCAUUCUGGAACCUGGACUCAGUCGCAGCAUAAUUACAGUACUAUUAAAAAAGAAAUUUUAGCUAUUGUAUUAUGCAUUAGUAAAUUUCAAGAUGAUUUGCUUAAUCAAAAGUUUUUAAUCCGAGUUGAUUGUAUGUCUGCAAAACAUGUUUUAGAAAAAGAUGUUCAAAACAUUGCAUCUAAACAGAUUUUUGCACGAUGGCAAAGUAUAUUAAGUAUAUUUGAUUUUGAAAUUGAAUAUUUGAAAGGCAGUGAGAAUUCUGUUCCUGAUUUUCUCACUCGAGAAUUCUUGCAGGAUGCACAAUGGCUCCCAAGAAAGACAAACAAAAAGCAGUAGCCAGUCAACCCAAGUUGCCCAAGUCGCCCAAAUCAACCCAGUCAUCCCAGUCGCUCAGAGUCCUUCCUUCCUCCAUGAGUCAACCUAAGCCAGAGUUGCCCAGGCAAAUAGUUCCAUAUCCGGGUCACCCCCCAUUAUCAGUUGCCACUCCAAUUUCAGUUGCAAACAGAUUUUCCUCUUUAGGAUCCACAGUUGGCCAAAUUCGCCCCAGUUAUCAAUCCACCUUAAUUUCCAGUUAUGACCCCUUUGCAGUUGAGAUCCCUGCAGAGCCAUCAGUUGUGCCAUCAGUUGUCCACAAAAAAUCGUCUCCUUAUUUGCCUAAAAGUAAUUCUCAUUUAUUUGUCAUUGAGUCCACAUAUGAUAUUCAUGCAAAUCCAGUAGAAAUUGCCAAACACUAUUUCCCUCCUGGAUUUCAUUAUAUGCCCCAGAGUCCAUAUAAGUCCCUCAAGUACUAUAGAGAUAUAUUACUUGAGACACAAUCAGUUGAAAUUAAGCCGAUAAAGGAUCGGGAUCAUCCUGAAACCAUUCUUUAUCAUUCUUUGUAUAUUCAUAAAAUUGUAAGCCAAGAAUCUUUUAGUAGCCAUCCUUAUGAGUUGAAAACACUUAAGUCAAAAUUACAAUAUAAUUAUUCUGAUUAUAUUGAAGCCUGGUAUACUAUUUUCCUUCAUCAAUCUGAAGACUUUAGUCAUUCCUGGUUUAUUAAUUUUGAUAAUAAGUUCAAAAGUCCUUUCCCCUACUGGUUUCUUCACUGGUGGGAAAAAUAUGGUCCUGCUGAGGAAAUCUUGCCAGCCUCAGUUCUUGAGUUAAUUCAACAUUAUGCCAAAAAAGCCAAGUUUUCUCAAGUUGACAGAUUCUUCCAGUUGCAAAUGCUUUUUAUUGCCAGGUAUAAGGUGCCUUGGAUCCUCAAAUGGGGUUACAGAGUCACCAAGGAUACCCGAGUACUUGCCCGCCAGUUUUCAGUUAAGUGGUGGGACAAAUUUGAAGUUGAACGAAUUGCUAAAAAUGUCUAUAAUGACCUCCCCCGGGAGCCAGUUCCUCGCCAUGUAUCCCCUACAGGUUCAGUCCGAUCUUCCUUAUCAGUUGAAGGAAAAUCCAAGUCAGAACUUCAGGAGAUUGCACGCCAGCUGAUCAUCCAGGCCUCUCAAAUGGAUGAUGAUGAGGACAAUGAUUCUCCCCCAUCGUCUAGUUGCCAGCCCGUGCAGAGUCCUGCCAAGACAAAGUCAUGGUUUGAUGACAGCCAGGACCCCUACGAUGCCUACGAUCUAGGGGAAUCCUCUCCAUAAUUGCCUCAGUUGCCGACAAACAAGCCUCGUCAAAGAAGUUGCCAAUUUGUCAAAAGAAGUUGCCGACAGACCACUCUGUCAAAAGAAGACGCCAGAUCACGUGAAAGCAGCGGACAAAGCAUCUCUGCUUUUACUUUAGUCAGAUCACCGAAAAGUAGCAGACAAAGCACUGUUUGCUUUUUGACAAUCCACCGAAAAUAGCCGAAAGCAUCUGCAGGAGUCAAAGUUACCUCUACAGUUGCUAAAGUUGAAUCAGGUUGAACACCCGUGCCUCUAAGGCCGAAGCCUGCUUAUAAAGAGAAAAGCAACUAUGGUUUACAUAACUUAGGAUAACAAAUAACUCGGGUAAGCAACUGUAGGAGCACGGGUAUGCAACCCGAUUCAACUUUCAAUUUUGUCUUCUUGUGGUGAAUUCAGAAAUCAACCUUGUCGGCUGGGCUUUGUCAGCUGGCAGGGAAUCUUCUGCUUUCGGCUACUUUCGAUGAAGUGACCAAAGCGAAACAGUGCUUUGUCUGCUGCUUUAGAAAAUGCUUCAUGUGAUGGCUGCUUUCGGCAAAAGCAAACAGGGCUUUGUCUGCUGCUUUCACGUGGGGCAAUUAUGGAGGGAAUCCCUAAUCAGACCCGAGGUCAUAGCCGUCAUAGGGAUCCUGGCUGUCAUCAUACCAAGUCUUUGGCUUGGCAGGGCUCUGCAUGGGCUGGCAACUAGAUGACGAGGGAGAAUCAUUGUCCUCAUCAUCAUCCAUUUGAGAGGCCUGGAUGAUCAGCUGGCGUGCAAUCUCCUGAAGUUCUGACUUGGAUUUUCCUUCAACUGAUAAGGAAGAUCGGACUGAACCUGUAGGGGAUACAUGGCGAGGAACUGGCUCCCGGGGGAGGUCAUUAUAGACAUUUUUAGCAAUUCGUUCAACUUCAAAUUUGUCCCACCACUUAACUGAAAACUGGCGGGCAAGUACUCGGGUAUCCUUGGUGACUCUGUAACCCCAUUUGAGGAUCCAAGGCACCUUAUACCUGGCAAUAAAAAGCAUUUGCAACUGGAAGAAUCUGUCAACUUGAGAAAACUUGGCUUUUUUGGCAUAAUGUUGAAUUAACUCAAGAACUGAGGCUGGCAAGAUUUCCUCAGCAGGACCAUAUUUUUCCCACCAGUGAAGAAACCAGUAGGGGAAAGGACUUUUGAACUUAUUAUCAAAAUUAAUAAACCAGGAAUGACUAAAGUCUUCAGAUUGAUGAAGGAAAAUAGUAUACCAGGCUUCAAUAUAAUCAGAAUAAUUAUAUUGUAAUUUUGACUUAAGUGUUUUCAACUCAUAAGGAUGGCUACUAAAAGAUUCUUGGCUUACAAUUUUAUGAAUAUACAAAGAAUGAUAAAGAAUGGUUUCAGGAUGAUCCCGAUCCUUUAUCGGCUUAAUUUCAACUGAUUGUGUCUCAAGUAAUAUAUCUCUAUAGUACUUGAGGGACUUAUAUGGACUCUGGGGCAUAUAAUGAAAUCCAGGAGGGAAAUAGUGUUUGGCAAUUUCUACUGGAUUUGCAUGAAUAUCAUAUAUGGAUUCAAUGAUAAAUAAAUGAGAAUUACUUUUAGGCAAAUAAGGAGACGAUUUUUUGUGGACAACUGAUGGCACAACUGAUGGCCCUGCAGGGAUCUCAACUGCAAAGGGGUCAUAACUGGAAAUUAAGGUGGAUUGAUAACUGGGGCGAAUUUGGCCAACUGUGGAUCCUAAAGAGGAAAAUCUGUUUGCAACUGAAAUUGGAGUGGCAACUGAUAAUGGGGGGUGACCCGGAUAUGGAACUAUUUGCUUGGGCAACUCUGGCUUAGGUUGACUCAUGGAGGAAGGAAGGAUUCUGAGCGACUGGGAUGACUGGGUUGAUUUGGGCGACUUGGGCAACUUGGGUUGACUGGCUACUGCUUUUUGUUUGUCUUUCUUGGGAGCCAUUGUGCAUCCUGCAAGAAUUCUCGAGUGAGAAAAUCAGGAACAGAAUUCUCACUGCCUUUCAAAUAUUCAAUUUCAAAAUCAAAUAUACUUAAUAUACUUUGCCAUCGUGCAAAAAUCUGUUUAGAUGCAAUGUUUUGAACAUCUUUUUCUAAAACAUGUUUUGCAGACAUACAAUCAACUCGGAUUAAAAACUUUUGAUUAAGCAAAUCAUCUUGAAAUUUACUAAUGCAUAAUACAAUAGCUAAAAUUUCUUUUUUAAUAGUACUGUAAUUAUGCUGCGACUGAGUCCAGGUUCCAGAAUGGAAUCGAACAAUUUGUUCUGGAGAACUAGGACUGACUUUUUGCUUAAGAAUGCCACCAUAACCUAUGUCAGAGGCAUCGGUUUCAACUAUUUUGAAUGAAUCAACUGAAGGAAUACCAAGACAGGGAAGUGUCUUGACAUGGGAUUUAAUCUGUUUAACAACUUCAGUGUGAGUAGACGACCAAGGAGGAGGAUUACUCUGCAACCUAUCAAAUAGGGGCUUACACUGUUUUCUCAGAUUCUGAUAGAAGUCAGAGAUAUAAUUUAGGGAUCCUAAAAACCUCUGAAGUUGACUCUUAUCAAGAAUUUGAUCAGGGAACUUAUCAGCAAACUGGAUAACUCGAUCAAUUGGGGAGAUUUGCNNNNNNNNNNNNNNNNNNNNNNNNNNNNNNNNNNNNNNNNNNNNNNNNNNNNNNNNNNNNNNNNNNNNNNNNNNNNNNNNNNNNNNNNNNNNNNNNNNNNNNNNNNNNNNNNNNNNNNNNNNNNNNNNNNNNNNNNNNNNNNNNNNNNNNNNNNNNNNNNNNNNNNNNNNNNNNNNNNNNNNNNNNNNNNNNNNNNNNNNNNNNNNNNNNNNNNNNNNNNNNNNNNNNNNNNNNNNNNNNNNNNNNNNNNNNNNNNNNNNNNNNNNNNNNNNNNNNNNNNNNNNNNNNNNNNNNNNNNNNNNNNNNNNNNNNNNNNNNNNNNNNNNNNNNNNNNNNNNNNNNNNNNNNNNNNNNNNNNNNNNNNNNNNNNNNNNNNNNNNNNNNNNNNNNNNNNNNNNNNNNNNNNNNNNNNNNNNNNNNNNNNNNNNNNNNNNNNNNNNNNNNNNNNNNNNNNNNNNNNNNNNNNNNNNNNNNNNNNNNNNNNNNNNNNNNNNNNNNNNNNNNNNNNNNNNNNNNNNNNNNNNNNNNNNNNNNNNNNNNNNNNNNNNNNNNNNNNNNNNNNNNNNNNNNNNNNNNNNNNNNNNNNNNNNNNNNNNNNNACUCAUUUGGAUUGCCCGGGCUAGGCGUAGUAGUCGCGUCUCACUAAAGCGCUUUGAUGUAGGGAAGACGGACGACAUGCUGCUUCCUAUACCAAAAGGCUGUGGGCAACUCAGAACAAAUUUCUUCUUUUAAUCUUUGUUCAAAUUUUUGAAUUUGCAACUGUAAGGACUGACUGGCAAGUUGUUGUUCAACUCUCUUAAACUUAAUUUCUUCCUUAAGAAAUUUCAACUGGUUAGUUUUUUGGACAACCUGAAGGGACCUAGAGACAGAAUGUUUCUGUAAGGCUUUCAGAUUAUGCAACUCAGGUUUAGAAAGGAAACUAAACUUAACUUUCUCACCUAAUUGGGUAGAAAUGACACCGUCGUAUUCUACCUGGAAGGGAUAAAGCAGACUUAUGAAGGGUAAUCCUAAGAUAACCUCAUCAGUAAUAUUUUUAACUAAAACAAACGAAGUUUUAAAACAAACUCUGUUUUGGCAAAUAUGGGCUUUAGGCAACUCAUAAUUCAGCUGAAGAGAUUUUCCUGAAGCAGUGCUUAGGGUUUCUCUAGACUUCUGGUAGUACUUAGUAGGAAUUAGACCUUCCUGAAUACAGUUAAGGUCGGCUCCUGAAUCAAAUAAGGCAAUUGUGGUAAACUCAAAAUCUUUGACAACUAUUGUAACUUUCGAAUACCAUUUUCGGAAAUUGACUUGUUUGAUUAGGUUGACAACUGGAGUUUCUUCGUCAGAACCAGCAGGGCUGUCUGACUGGUUACUGGGCACUAAAGGCAUUUUGCCUUUUUGAAGACUUGUUAAGUCUUGCCUGAUUGUGUGGUUUUCAACCUGCAACUGGUUACUAAUCUGCCUUAACUCGGCUAAUUCUUGUUUGACUAAUUUGACUUCUAACUGGAGGUCUUGUAAGGUAACUUCUUUCUUUUUCUGAGCGAACUUUUCUAUAGUAGUGGCUAAACUGACUGGCUGCGGUUUAGGACUACUAGAGCUUUCUUGACUAAUGACUUUUCGCAAUUUUUUCAAAUAAUCGGACUUUAACUCAGGGUUUUCUACUCGGCUGAUUAAGUCGAUUAACAACUCUUCUUGUUCUUCCUGUUUGGUAAGAACAAAAAUAGAUUUUAAUCUAUUACAACACUUAUCGGUGCAACCAAAUUGGACAUCAGGGGAACUAGGCUGGGAAUCUGAAGCUUGUUCAGAAUCAUAUCCAGAGCUGGCAACUAAGGUUUCGGGACUGCUAGUUUCAGAGUCUCGCAACUCUAAAACUUGGAUCAACUUUUCUCUUUCAGCUUCUGAGAUCUGCAACUGCUUAAUGGCAUCUUUAACUUUACACUCAGAGGCAUAAUGACCAAAUUUUUGACAUUUAAAACAUUUAACUUUGGACUUAUCGGUUUUGGGUCGACUCUUCUGGGCUUUUCUGGGGGCUUUAGACCAAUUUUUUCUUUUAAAACUUUUUCUUUUCUUAUAAAACUCAUUAUCACUUUUAACUGCAAAAUGUUUUCUUUUAGAGGAAAACCGACGUUUCCUAAGGUGACUUGGCUUAGACUUAUUUCUGCAUAUGCAUUAGUCUGAAUACUGAGUUAAGUUGCUGCAUAAUCAUAUUCAUCUUCUUUCUCGCUAUCUCUCUGUGUCCCCUCUCUGUUGGUAUCAGAGCCGUAAGAGUUACGGUCUUUGUCUAAGUCUGCUACUCAUUCCCGCCCAAGUGGCUGGUUUAAGCUUCUGAGUAGAAGGUUUUCAUCUUCUUCUUUUCCUUCCUUUUUAUUCUUUGAGUUGUCUGUUGAUUUCACUCUAAGGUCUGACCCGUGAGUCCUUUUUGCUAGAUCUGUAAGUCCCGAGGGUAGGGCGUUUGUGCUGGGCAGGAGACAGAAAAUUGAGUGGAGUUAGUAGAUUUCUUAGAGUCUAAGGAGUGAGUCCGAGAAGUUCCUGUUUAUCUUCUUCCUCAGUCCGUUUGAGUCAAACACUUGAGUAGCCAUGAGUCGUUUUCUUAGGUCGAGUUCCUGUAAGUCAAGCAGUUCUAAGACCAAUAUAAGUCGACUCCCUGAGAUAGUUAAUGAAGAACAAUUUGAAUAUGAUUCUAGUUGCAAAGAACAAUUAGAUUUUAGAGAUUGGAAUAUCCCUAAAGUCCCUAGUCAAAAAAUCUAUAAGAAACAUUGGUUGCCUUCCAGUUUUAAUUGCACCACACAUGUCAAAACAGUUGAACAAGUUUACGCUCUUAGUAAAGAACACGAAACUUGCCAGUUGCUUAAUCUUGAGUCAAUCAAAAAGCACAAGACUGAUGGAAACAAUUUCCUGCAUAUUGGUCUUGUUCAAGUUGCCGUUAAGCCCCUAACCAGGUUAGGUUUGAAAGCCUCCAUACUGCUCUGUUUACGCGAUGCCCGGUUCACCGCGUUCAGUGACAGUACGCUAGGAGUUAUUGAGUCCAGUUUGUGUAACGGUCCAGUUCAUUUUGAUUGUUACCCAGACUUCACUGUAAGCCUUAGUGAUCCACAUAUAUUGAGAACCCUAACUCUCAAUAUUAAGACUGAAGGUUAUAAUGUCCUCCCAGGAACCCAACCUUUAGCAUUAGUUUACAGAAUUUACUAUAAGGUCACAGGAACCAAUAUGAACUUCCAGGCCUUAAACAAAAGCCCAAAGGAUCAGACAGUCCUGAUCCAGAGUCACACCUCAGACGCCCAUAUUCAAGUUCCCCAGACCAUUAAAUGGUCAGAAGUUGCCCUUCCAACAGAUUGGACCUUAGUUACCGAGAGCCAACCAGCUCCGAUUCAACGUAGUCUAAACAAUUUAGACUACAUCCAGCAGUACUUAGAUGGCACGGUUAAGAUUAGAUUCGAUAGCCAGCCUCUACAUAAGUCUAAAGUCCAGUUACACCAGUUACCAACCCCAGGUCAGUCACAAAGGCAUGCCCCAGCUAGGCACUCCUUUACUGCCUCAUCCUCAACUCUAGAACGAGACCUAGAGUUAGAAAAAACCAUGAUAGAUUUAAAGCUUGAGUCCCUGAGAAGAUCCUCUCAUGUAACCCAACCCUGCUACGGCACGGUUCCAGUAGAAGAAAAGUCAGAAUCCCCUGAGUCACCUACCCAGUCUGACUUCAUAGUUGAAAACCAGUUAAGAACCCUUAAUAGAAAAUUUAAAAUUGAUUGGUCACGUCUAAACAAACAUCUCAAAGCCCCUGAGAACCUGUCUAGACGAGAUAGUUAUCACCAAGCCUUUCCUGAUAGUAGCCGCCGCUUAGAAAUCUUUAGUGAAUGGAAAGAUUACAUGCGGUCAGCCCAAGUUGAAAUUUUCUACCUUGAUUUUGUUGAAAGCCGUUAUAUGUCAAAUGAUGAGUUAAAAACCUUAACUCAGCAAAAAUGGAAAAUGGCAGAUAAGUCUGUCGUUGAGUCUAGCCAUCCUCCAGUAGAAACCAUAAUUAUUGAGCAUAAAGAUACUCUUAUUCCUGCUACUCCUUUCAAAACAUUUGAAAGCAGUGACAGUAAUAGAAGAAUUCUUGAGCAAAAUAAUUAUACCAACCAGAGUCUAAUUGUUAUAGGAAAACAGUUGGAUACAAUUGAAACUAAAAUUGAUAAGAUAGGUUCUACAGACGUAGAGUCUAAAAAGAAAAUUGAAAAACCAAUUGUCCAGUUCCAGGAUCUUAGGUCUAGCCCGACCCUUAAGAUCACACCUACAAUAAAGAAAAUAGAAGACAUGUUAGCCCAGUUGACCCCUGCCAAAGUUGAAAAAACUGAGAAAUCUGGUCUUAAAACACUAGAUGCCUUUGCAGUAGAAAAUACCUCUGAGUCUGAGUCUUCAGAAGUAAGCAAUAUUUCUAAAAUUGAAAAAGCCUUUCAAACUUUAGAAAUCCAAGUUGAACCCAAAGUUAAGAAAUUAGAAAAGUUUGUCAGCCCCAGUAGUCUGACCAAAAAUUGGUAUCCCAGACCAACACCUCCUGACAUUCAAUUUGAAGAAAGAAACCUGCAGACCCAGUUCUCUGUUUCUUCCGACAAAUUGUAUGAAUGGAAUAUUGAUGGUCUCUCUGAGCAAGAGAUCCUCAAUAAGUUACAACAUAUGUCCAUGGUUGCCAAUAGUUAUAUCACCAAUCACAGUUUCAGACAGUCUGAAAUUGUCCCUCUGUUAGUCACUGGUUUCACCGGUACUCUCAGAAGUUGGUGGGAUAAACACCUGAGUCCUGAGUCUAAAAGCCGUAUAACCUUUGCUGUAAAACUGAAUGAUGACGGUCACCCUAUCUUUGACGAACGAAUAGGUCAAGGUAUAGAAGACGGUGUCAACACCCUGUUUUACACCAUAAUCGAUCACUUCAUAGGAACCCCUAGUAAUCAAACUGCUAGGAUCCAUGACCAGUUAAGUAAUCUUAGAUGCCCAAAGUUGUCCGAUUUCAGAUGGUAUAAGGAUGUCUUCAUCUCUAGAGUCAUGCUUAGAGACGAUAGUAACCAACCAUUCUGGAAAGAGAAAUUUGUUAAUGGUUUGCCAAACCUAUUUGCCCAUAAGAUCAGAACUACCCUCAGUAAUGAAUUAGGUCAUAUUGAUUGGGAUAGUUUAACUUAUGGUAACAUUGUAAGCACAAUUAAUCAAGUUGGCAUGAAAAUGUGUGUUGAUUACAAAAUCGGAAAACAAAUACAGUCCGAUAGGAAAUCAGCCAAAUAUGAGUUAGGAAACUUCUGUGAACAAUACGGUCUCAGUAGCAUUCCGCCCUCUAGAAGAAAUAAGUCUAAGCCAAGUCACCUUAGGAAACGUCGGUUUUCCUCUAAAAGAAAACAUUUUGCAGUUAAAAGUGAUAAUGAGUUUUAUAAGAAAAGAAAAAGUUUUAAAAGAAAAAAUUGGUCUAAAGCCCCCAGAAAAGCCCAGAAGAGUCGACCCAAAACCGAUAAGUCCAAAGUUAAAUGUUUUAAAUGUCAAAAAUUUGGUCAUUAUGCCUCUGAGUGUAAAGUUAAAGAUGCCAUUAAGCAGUUGCAGAUCUCAGAAGCUGAAAGAGAAAAGUUGAUCCAAGUUUUAGAGUUGCGAGACUCUGAAACUAGCAGUCCCGAAACCUUAGUUGCCAGCUCUGGAUAUGAUUCUGAACAAGCUUCAGAUUCCCAGCCUAGUUCCCCUGAUGUCCAAUUUGGUUGCACCGAUAAGUGUUGUAAUAGAUUAAAAUCUAUUUUUGUUCUUACCAAACAGGAAGAACAAGAAGAGUUGUUAAUCGACUUAAUCAGCCGAGUAGAAAACCCUGAGUUAAAGUCCGAUUAUUUGAAAAAAUUGCGAAAAGUCAUUAGUCAAGAAAGCUCUAGUAGUCCUAAACCGCAGCCAGUCAGUUUAGCCACUACUAUAGAAAAGUUCGCUCAGAAAAAGAAAGAAGUUACCUUACAAGACCUCCAGUUAGAAGUCAAAUUAGUCAAACAAGAAUUAGCCGAGUUAAGGCAGAUUAGUAACCAGUUGCAGGUUGAAAACCACACAAUCAGGCAAGACUUAACAAGUCUUCAAAAAGGCAAAAUGCCUUUAGUGCCCAGUAACCAGUCAGACAGCCCUGCUGGUUCUGACGAAGAAACUCCAGUUGUCAACCUAAUCAAACAAGUCAAUUUCCGAAAAUGGUAUUCGAAAGUUACAAUAAUUGUCAAAGAUUUUGAAUUUACCACAGUUGCCUUAUUUGAUUCAGGAGCUGACCUUAACUGCAUUCAGGAAGGUCUAAUUCCUACUAAGUAUUACCAGAAGUCUAGAGAAACCCUAAGCACUGCCUCAGGAAAAUCUCUCCAGUUGAAUUAUGAGUUGCCUAAAGCCCAUAUUUGCCAAAACAAAGUUUGUUUUAAAACUUCGUUUGUUUUAGUUAAAAAUAUUACUGAUGAGGUUAUCUUAGGAUUACCCUUCAUAAGUCUGCUUUAUCCCUUCCAGGUAGAAUACGACGGUGUCAUUUCUACCCAAUUAGGUGAGAAAGUUAAGUUUAGUUUCCUUUCUAAACCUGAGUUGCAUAAUCUGAAAGCCUUACAGAAACAUUCUGUCUCUAGGUCCCUUCAGGUUGUCCAAAAAACUAACCAGUUGAAAUUUCUUAAGGAAGAAAUUAAGUUUAAGAGAGUUGAACAACAACUUGCCAGUCAGUCCUUACAGUUGCAAAUUCAAAAAUUUGAACAAAGAUUAAAAGAAGAAAUUUGUUCUGAGUUGCCCACAGCCUUUUGGUAUAGGAAGCAGCAUGUCGUCCGUCUUCCCUACAUCAAAACCUUUAGUGAGAAAAAUAUCCCCACUAAAGCCAGGCCAAUCCAAAUGAGUCAAGAAAUGAUGGAGUUCUGUAAGAAAGAAAUUGAAGAGUUGCUUCAAAAGAAAAUAAUUCGCAAGAGUAAGUCCCCCUGGUCAUGUCCUGCUUUUUAUGUCCAGAAAAAUGCUGAACUAGAAAGAGGUGUUCCCAGAUUAGUUAUCAAUUAUAAGCCCCUUAAUGCGGUCCUAGAAUGGAUUAGGUAUCCCAUACCUAAUAAAAGAGAUCUCAUUAAUCGGUUAGAAAAAGCAGUUGUCUAUUCUAAGUUUGAUUUGAAAAGUGGUUUCUGGCAAAUCCAAAUAGAUGAGUCAGACAGAUAUAAGACUGCAUUUGUCACUCCCUUUGGUCAUUACGAGUGGAAUGUAAUGCCCUUUGGUUUGAAAAAUGCUCCUAGUGAAUUCCAGAAUAUCAUGAAUGAUAUAUUCAAUCCUUACAGUCAGUUUUCGAUUGUUUAUAUUGAUGAUGUUCUAAUCUUUUCUGAGUCAAUAGAACAACAUUGGAAACAUUUGCAUAAGUUCCUUCAAGUUGUCAAACAAAAUGGUUUAGUUGUUUCUGCCAAAAAGAUCAAGUUGUUUCAAACCAAUAUUCGUUUUCUUGGUUUCAAUAUUUGUCAGUCGCAAAUCUCCCCAAUUGAUCGAGUUAUCCAGUUUGCUGAUAAGUUCCCUGAUCAAAUUCUUGAUAAGAGUCAACUUCAGAGGUUUUUAGGAUCCCUAAAUUAUAUCUCUGACUUCUAUCAGAAUCUGAGAAAACAGUGUAAGCCCCUAUUUGAUAGGUUGCAGAGUAAUCCUCCUCCUUGGUCGUCUACUCACACUGAAGUUGUUAAACAGAUUAAAUCCCAUGUCAAGACACUUCCCUGUCUUGGUAUUCCUUCAGUUGAUUCAUUCAAAAUAAUUGAAACCGAUGCCUCUGACAUAGGUUAUGGUGGCAUUCUUAAGCAAAAAGUCAGUCCUAGUUCUCCAGAACAAAUUGUUCGAUUCCAUUCUGGAACCUGGACUCAGUCGCAGCAUAAUUACAGUACUAUUAAAAAAGAAAUUUUAGCUAUUGUAUUAUGCAUUAGUAAAUUUCAAGAUGAUUUGCUUAAUCAAAAGUUUUUAAUCCGAGUUGAUUGUAUGUCUGCAAAACAUGUUUUAGAAAAAGAUGUUCAAAACAUUGCAUCUAAACAGAUUUUUGCACGAUGGCAAAGUAUAUUAAGUAUAUUUGAUUUUGAAAUUGAAUAUUUGAAAGGCAGUGAGAAUUCUGUUCCUGAUUUUCUCACUCGAGAAUUCUUGCAGGAUGCACAAUGGCUCCCAAGAAAGACAAACAAAAAGCAGUAGCCAGUCAACCCAAGUUGCCCAAGUCGCCCAAAUCAACCCAGUCAUCCCAGUCGCUCAGAGUCCUUCCUUCCUCCAUGAGUCAACCUAAGCCAGAGUUGCCCAGGCAAAUAGUUCCAUAUCCGGGUCACCCCCCAUUAUCAGUUGCCACUCCAAUUUCAGUUGCAAACAGAUUUUCCUCUUUAGGAUCCACAGUUGGCCAAAUUCGCCCCAGUUAUCAAUCCACCUUAAUUUCCAGUUAUGACCCCUUUGCAGUUGAGAUCCCUGCAGAGCCAUCAGUUGUGCCAUCAGUUGUCCACAAAAAAUCGUCUCCUUAUUUGCCUAAAAGUAAUUCUCAUUUAUUUGUCAUUGAGUCCACAUAUGAUAUUCAUGCAAAUCCAGUAGAAAUUGCCAAACACUAUUUCCCUCCUGGAUUUCAUUAUAUGCCCCAGAGUCCAUAUAAGUCCCUCAAGUACUAUAGAGAUAUAUUACUUGAGACACAAUCAGUUGAAAUUAAGCCGAUAAAGGAUCGGGAUCAUCCUGAAACCAUUCUUUAUCAUUCUCUUUAUAUUCAUCAAAUUAUCAGUCAACAAUCUUUCAGUAGCCAUCCUUAUGAGUUGAAAUUUCUUAUGUCAAAAUUACAAUAUAAUUAUUCGGAUUAUAUUGAAGCUUGGUAUACUAUCUUUCUUCACCAAUCUGAAGAUUUUAGUCAUUCCUGGUUUAUUAAUUUUGAUAAUAAGUUCAAAAGCCCAUUCCCCUACUGGUUUCUUCACUGGUGGGAAAAAUAUGGUCCAGUUGAUGAAAUUCUUCCAGUAUCAGUUCUUGAGUUGAUCCGCCAUUUUACUAAAAGAGCCAAGUUUUCCCUAGUUGAUUUAUUCUUUCCCAAACAGUUGCUGUUUAUUGCCAGAUACAAGGUACCUUGGAUCCUUAAAUGGUCCUAUGCCAUCACCAAGGACACCCGUGUAUUUGCCCGCCAAUUCUCAAUCAAAUGGUGGGACAAGUUUGAAGUUGACAGAAUUGCCAAAUACGUCUACAGUGACCUCCCCCGGGAGCCAGUUGCUCACCCUGUAUCUCCUACAGGCUCAGUCAGAUCAUCCUUAUCAAUCGAAGGAAAAUCUAAAGCUGAGCUCCAGGAAAUUGCACGCCAGCUGAUCAUCCAGGCUUCUCAGAUGGAUGAUGAUGAGGACAAUGAUUCUCCUCCAUCGUCUAGUUGCCAACCCAUGCUGAGUCCUGCCAAGACAAAGUCAUGGUUCGAUGACAGCCAGGACCCCUAUGAUGCCUACGACCUAGGGGAAUCUUCUCCAUAAUUGCCUCAGUUGCCGACAAGCAAGCCUCGUUGCCAAUUUGUCAAAAGUAGUUGCCGACAGACCACUCUGUCAAAAGAAGUUGCUAGAUCACGUGAAAGCAGCGGACAAAGCAUCUCUGCUUUUACUUUUGUCAGAUCACCAAGAAGCAGCAGACAAAGCACUGUUUGCUUUUUGACAAUCCACCGAAAGUAGCCGAAAGCAUCUGCAGGAGUCAAAGUUACCUCUACAGUUGCUAAAGUUGAAUCAGGUUGAACAUCCGUGCCUCUACAGCUGUCCAACCAUAGUUGCUUUUGUAAACCAUAGUUGAAAGUUGUCUUUAAAUUCAGGCUUCGGCCUCAGUUGUAGGCAGAACUGGUUUUACCAGCUGCAUUUUAUUUUCCUAGUUUUAAAGAUUCUCUCUGAAACACCUUUAGAGAAAUCACGCUUGUACAUAGUCUAAGUGUGUUAAGUUUGCAGUUGCAACCUCUGUGAGUAUAAUAAAAGUUGCUAUUUUUAAAUUAUUCUAUUAUAUAUAUAUAUAUAUAGAUGAAAGGUAUGCAAAAAAUCAUCAGGCACAUGAAAUGAUUGGUACUGAAGGGGCACUGAGAGGAGAAGCAAUGAGGGCCACUAGCUUGUACCAAAUCACAUGGGUUUGUUUUCGUGCUCAUGUAACCCUUCCGCAAGAGAUUUCUCAUGAAAAUGAUCAAACUCUAUCCUUGUGUAGAAAUAGGAUUCCCUACCUAGCUAGCUCCUCUGGUUAACAGACAACAAAAGGGACCACCAUGUUCUUGAAAAAUGAAUUCAUUGCGCCUCUGGUUAAUUAACAGUACUGCAUAUGGUAUGCCCUACAACAAAAACUUGUUAGCUUGUGUGAUAAACUAGUAGUCUCUUUCUUUUUCAUCUUUUUAUAAAUGCUGCUUCAAAAGACAAGAAUUUGUGGUGCUAUGAGAAUAUACAUGGACCCUCGGAUGCUCUAUGAUUUGGUUGGUUGGGAGCACCAAACCACCCCUUGCAUGUGGCUUUGUCUUUCAUCUAUGAUAUUCAGGCCCAACAAGCAAGGGAAGUCUUUCAUUUGUUUGAAGAAUUGAUACUUACUGAGAAUGCAGUAGGUAAUGAGUACAUAUCUAAAAAGCAUAUGAUAUCAAGAGAGUGCUAAUCUGUAGCAAUUAUAAAUGUUGGAUACAUACUUUUUACUUAAAAGUAAAACAUACUCAUAGACUUGCUGUAUAUAUUCCUUGUCUCUCAAGGACUUGAUUCUUGCCUAGAAUAGGAAAUCCUUUGUGUAGACACCAAGCAAAGCAUUGUAUAUAAUUAUCACAUGAUUGUUCAAUGAAAAUCAUCGAGAAUAUUCAAAACCUUUCAUGGUAUCAAGAGCCUGAGACUCACAGUCCUCGAUCCUCAAUUUUCUUGUUCCCUGUCUUUUUUUUUUCUUUUUUUUUUUUUGGCACCAUGGCUUCUUCCUCCUCUAUUGAUUUUCCUGGCAUUCAUCAUGUUAUCUCCAUUCGUAUCAAGCGUGAUAAUUAUUUGACAUGGCUUGCUCAAAUUGUUCCUAUCCUUCGCAUCCGCCGCUUACUCAGCUUCGUUGACGACACUUCUCUAUGUCCUCCGACCAUUCCUGACCCAAAUGCUAAGGCCGAUGAAUUUUCUUUUCUGUCUCUCCUCCCCAACCCAAAGUAUGAUGAUUGGUGUUUACACCAUAAUGAACCGAGCAGACCCAGCACCAAAGUGACUAGUACCAAGGCAGCCACGCCUUCUCCUGUGCCGAAGGAAGACACACUUCCGAGGUGCCAGACACCAUAAUGAACCGAGCAGACCCAGCACCAAAGUGACUAGCACCAAGGCAGCCACGCCUUCUCCUGUGCCGAAGGAAGACACACUUCCGAGGUGCCAGACACCUACCGAAGCUCCCAGCUGCCAAACCUAAUCUCCAGGACACGUGUCGCCACCACGACGACUUGCACAAAGUCCCACAUCGGAACUUUGUGCAAACCUCCUACUUUCACCUCCCUAUAAAUAGGGAACAGUACCCAGGUAAAAAGGGUAACUAUUCUCCCACUUUUACUGUUACUCUGCCAGAAUUACUACUUGUAACUGACUUAGGCAUCGGAGAGCCUUCGGCCGGCACCACACCGAUGUCCGAAGCUUAACGAUUGCUUCUCCCACUUUGUCUUCUGCAGGUUUCCCAUCAACCUAUAUUUCACCAAGGGCCUCAGCUCUCUUCCCUACCGAAGACCCCGCAUACCUAAUCACUAAGUUGGACUCACUAUUGGCCGGGCCAUUUUGAGCAUCAACAAUUGGGUCCAGAAAGAUCAGCUUGUUUUCUCUCUCUCAUCAACGGUUCCUUUCACCAUAAAGUUCUCACCACCAUAGCUUCCAAGACCACCGCGUGUGACACUUGGGUAGCCCUUGAAACUCGUUUUGCUUCUCCAAAUCAGAAUCGUCUUCUUCAACUUCACAGUAACUUGCUUCGCACAACCCGUGGUGAAUCUUCCAUCACUGAUUUCCUUAAUCGUAUUAACUCGAUUGACGAUAACUUGGCUCUAGCAGGUGCUUCAGUUGCUAACUCUGAUCUCCUUGUUGUGGUUACGAACAACGUUUGUCCUCUUUAUGAAAAUACCAUUGCCGAUACUCAAGCUCGUGAGAAACCCAUCAAUAUGCCUGAUCUUGAUGCUUUCCUCUUGUCUGUGGAACGUCGCCUGUAAUUAUCUUCUUCUCUGGUCAUCUAUUCUGGUGCGACAGCUAUGGAAGCUUCCCACGGUGGUCUCGGUGGACGCGGUUUUGGCGAUCGCGCUGGGUUUGCUGGUCGUGGUCCUGAUCUUCGCAACUCAUUUUCUCCCUCACGACCUGGUUUUACUUCUGGUCGCGGUUUCCCUGGCGCUUCUUAUGACGCCUCUAGUCCUGCCUCACAUCAACAACGUUUUGUAGCAAUUUUGAGCCGAGUGUUCUUGGCCCACCUCCUUCUGGUUCUACUGCUUCCUCUUUUGGGCCUCAUUCUGCCUGUGGGCCUCUUCAAUGUUUCAAUUGUCAUGGUUUUGGCCACAUCGCAGCUGUCAGUCCUUCCAAGAUGUCUUCUGUGCCUUCUCCUCCGUCUCGUCUUCAAGACAUGACUGCUCAAUAUCCUUCACAUGGUGGCCAUCAACAGUGGGUUGCUGAUACCGAUGCAAACACUCAUUUUACUAAUGACCUGAGCUGCUUAUCCCUUGCUAGACAGUAUCAUGGUUCUGACAAUGUUGAAGGUGUGCUUGGUGGAAUAGGUUUGCCUAUUAAAAAUAUUGGUCACUCUCAUUUCUCUCACCUUAAUUCUUCUUUUCAUCUUAAUGAUAUUCUUCAUUGUCCCGAUGCAUCUCUUCCUCUUUUAUCUAUUCAUAAAUUUCCUACUAACAAAAAUUGUUUCUUCACUUUUUUUCCUGAUUGUUAUUUUAUCCAGGAUUUGGGGACGAGGAAGACACUUUUCUUGGGCAAGAGUAGUAAUGGCCUAUAUCCCUUUUCGUUUACUCCGAAUGAGUUUUUUCAAGUUUUGCGUGAUCGCGUUGCUUUACUAGGUGUCUGUGUUGACCACUCUAUGUGGCACUCUCACCUUGGUCAUCCUGCUUCGUCUACCAUUCGAGAUGACGUGCGAGUCAAGCUAUUGAAGUCUCGGAAGAACAACGAGCCUUUCGUGGAUGCGAAUGAUCUUGAUGCUAGGAUCAUCACCUUCCGUCCUUUUUACUUCUCCUUGGGCUUCAAAUUCCCGCUGUCAAAGCUUUUCAAGGAGGUGUUCUGCGCCAUGGGGUGUGCUCCGAGCCAGUGUACUCCAAACGCUUACCGAGCGAUCAUGUGCUUUGAGAAUUUGAGUCGUUUCUUCAUGUUGGAGCUGACGGUGCGAGAGUUCUUUUAUUUUUUCGAAGUGAGGCACUUCGAGCAGUAUGCCCAAGUUCGCGUCUACAAGGCCAAGCUGUUCAACAGUCUUAGUCAAGGGGAUCACGCUUGGCAUGACGACGUGUUGGAGGUCAGCGGACGGUGGGAAGGCGACGUCGGUGACAGCCCACUUGUUCCCAUCACCUAUUGCGAUGGUAUGUCUCUUUGCAAUUUUUGAUGCGCUCCUGUUAUUUGAAUUUCUUGAAGUGUGGCUGACUAACUUCUGUCUUCUGCUUGCAGUGAGUGACAUCAGCAAGCAAUUGGAGCUUGGGCCGGACAUGGCUAAGGUCCGUCGUGUUUUGAACAUCCCUCUAAGGUUUUGCGAGUGACGCUGGCUGUUGAGUGAGUACCGGGAGGAAGACGGUGGUUUGCCCCCUGCCGAGGAUGUCGAAAGGUGGAAGCAGAACGGUCCUGACCCUGAUGAUCUGCUUGGCGGACAAGAAGAAUGUUCUGCUGAAUCUCUCUCAAAGAGAAAAGCUGCUGCCAAAUCUUCAAGAGGUGAAGCUACUUCUUCGCACGCGAAGGAUGGGUCUCAUUCGAGGAAGAAACCAAGGCUUCCUUCUGCUGAGAAGACUCAAGUAGGGUAUGUUCCCUUAUCAUCUGCCAGGGUCAAGCAUCUCGUGGGUGCAGAUAGUACGAAGGUUGGUGGUAUGCGCGGUAUUCGGGGUGUUCUACACGAGCCUCCUGCUGACACGCUCGACAACCAUGAUAUGUUUCGUGAAACGGCUCGUGCUCGACCUAGUUCUGUCGAGCGUCAAAAAGAUGCAGGCAUUCCUCCUAGAAGUUCAAGUCGUCUGCAUCGGUCAAAAGAUGGAGAUCGAAACGGGAGGUCUGCUCAUGAUCCAGCAUUAUUGACUCCUUUGGAGAUGAAGUUAGCGGAAGCUAAGAAGAUGAGAGAGUCAUAUGCCCGAGUUAAGGGUUUUUCCUCCACGUCGGCAGUUGGUCCUAAGGUGAACUAGCCUAGCUCUGUAGGGGAUGCGAUCUGCUUAAGACGAACUUCCUAUCAAAUCCGUCGUCCUGUGCUGAGUUGGUUGAUCACAUCCAUCAGGCUGGCGAUCUUGGCACUUUCUCAUGUCUUUCCUUGGAAAAACAAAGGGAAGCGUCAUUCCAUCUGAUUCAAAAAGGACUGAUUUUUGCUGCUGAGACUAUUCGGAACUCAUCUGGUGUUGCCCCCUCUUCUGCCCAACUCAGCGAGUUGGAGAAGAAGAAUGCUGAAUUGGCCAGCCAGCUUUCCGCCGAGCAGGCCCGCUACGAGAAGAAGACGUCUGAUUUGAGGGCGAUGAUAUCUAGGCUGAAAAGCUCCCUUACCGAGAAGGAUUCCGAGCUCAACUCUUCCGCUGCUGAUUUGGUAGUCGAAAAGAUGCCUUCUUUCAUCUUGAGCGUAAGAAUGCGGACAUCUCCCUUAGCUAUGACAAACUCCUGGCUAGAUUUCAUGCCUAUCAUAAGUCUGCUAAAGAAUCCAAGUCUGAAGCCACCAUAGAUGCGUACAAAUUGCUACCUGCAUUGCGCAAAUGAGACUGAUUCCUUGUAUGCGAUUGAUGAUGUAGACAUCGAGAUGCUCUGCCCCGACUCACCCCCUAUGGAAGGGGGAAUUGAAGAGCAGGUAACCAGAGAGGAUGAAGCAGAGGUAGACGCAGUAGACAAGAUGAUGGCAGAUGUCAUGGUUCAGGCAGAUGGAGUUGCUGAAGACGUAGCUAGUCAGGUGGAUGCCGAAGAGGCUGCAGCUUAAAAGUCUUCUGCUGGCGUCUCCAAGUAGAUGAAGACUCUUUUUUGUUUCUUUUCAGCUUUUGUAGUUUGCUUUUUUGUUUAGAAUAACUGGUCUUAUUUGACCAUCUUCUUUUUGUUAAACUUGGCCGGUUGGUCUGUUUGUUAUGAAAAUUUCAGUUACAUUUUCCAACUUCAACUUGCAUAUUUGUCUUGUGAACUGCUUGAGUAACCAUCCUAUGUUUUAAUUGCACGUCCUCCUUUAGAGAUUUGUGAGUACCAGGGUCCCCCUUGAAGGACUCCGGGCAUGCACUGCAAAUCCCAUAGGAUGAUUCCCCUUAGGAAGUUGGCGAGCACCAGGAUCCCCCUUGAGAGACUCGUGUGUGUUCUGCACAUCUCUAGGAUGAUUUCCCUUAGGAAGUUGGCGAGCACCAGGAUCCCCCUUGAGAGACUCCGGGUGUGUUCUGCACAUCCCGUAGGAUGAUUCCCCUUAGGAAGUUGGCGAGCAUCAGGGUCCCCCUUGAGAGACUCCGGGUGUAUUCUGCACAUCCCGUAGGAUGCCUUGGUCGUCGCCCUGCGUCUCCCGUAGGACGCUACUUAUGGGCAACUACAUGAUUAUCUCGCCUCCCUUAGGAAACGGAUAGGAACCUAGAUAUUUCCCGCAGGAAGCAUGGAGACCUCCUUUUAAGAAAUUCCUGACGCACCCUGCGUCUCUCUUAGGACGCUUUUUUAGCGGGCUACGUCUCCAAACGGACGCGUUUUGUCAUCACCCUGCGUCUCCCUUAGGACGCUCCUUAUGGGCAACUGUGUGACUAUCCUGCCUCUCUUAGGAAACAGAUAGGAACCUGGAUAUUUCCCGCAGGAAGCAUGGCGACCCCCUUUUAAGAAACUCAUGGCGCACUCUGCGUCUCCCUUAGGACAUUUUUUUAGCGGGCUGCGUCUCCAAACGGACGCUUUUAGUCGUCGCCCUGCGUCUCCCUUAGGACGCUCCUUAUGGGCAACAGUGUGACUAUCCUGCCUCCCUUAGAAAACGGAUAGAAACCUGGAUAUCUCCCUUAGCAAAUUCCUGGCGUACCCUGCGUAUCCCGAAGGACGCUGCUUAUGGGCAAAUAUUGUGUUUCGUGGGCAGAUGAGACAUUUUGGAAUGAGAAACUGAACUUAUAUUGAUAUCAUAAGAUUACAGUCCUUUAUUCAAAAAUGGAAACAACUUGGUACAAAACUUAGAACUUCUAGCAGUCAGGAGGAGGUGCUACGGAUAAUACUUUCGAAGAUGGUGAGCAUUCCUUUGUCAUGGUAUUUCCUUCCCCUCCAUAGUGUCGAGUGUGUAGCUUCCUCUACCCCCAGACCGGCUGAUCAUGUAAGGACCCUCCCAGUUAGGAUUCAUCUUUUUUGACCCUUGCCUCGGUGUAGUAAUGAAAGUCUUUCUUAGCACGAGGUCGCCUGGUUGAAACUGUCUGACCUUAGCUCUUUUGUCGUGGUAAGACUUCAACUGUUGCUGAUAAGAGGCGACCCGGAUAAUGGUCUUCUCACGUUCGCCUUCAAGUAAGUCGAGGUUGAGCCUCAUCUGCUCGGAGUUCUGAUCAUCUGAUGUGGGGUGGUAUGAUCGCUUCUAUUCCAUAGGCGAGGGAGAAUGGGGUUUUACCAGUCGAUCUUCAUUUGGUGGUGCGAUAAGCCCAUAGUACUCCGGGGAGUUCAUCCACCCAUUUUCCUUCUGCGCCUUCCAGCCUUUUCUUCAAGCAGUCCAAUAUGACUUUGUUGGAUGCCUCGACUUGUCCAUUUCCUUGUGGAUACCUCGGGGUGGACAAGUGUUGCUUGAUCUUGUAUUUCGCAAAAAAGGUGGUGAUCUACUUGCCAAUGAACUGUGAGCCAUUAUCUGUAACCAGCGACUGUGGGCAGCCAAACCGGCAUAUGAUGUUUCUCCAGAUGAAUCGCUCCACAUCGGCCUCUUUAGUAGAGGAUAGAGCUUCGGCCUCUUUAGUAGAGGAUAGAGCUUCGGCCUCAAUCCAUUUAGUAAAGUAGUCGGUGGCGAGGAUCAUCAUUUCUUUCUUGGCGGGCGCUGGUGGCAAGGGACCCACUAGGUCGAUGGCCCAUUGCAUAAACGGCCAUGGACUGUUUUGCGGAUGAUAGACUUCGGCAGGCAGGUUAGGGAUCGGCUUGUAUCACUGACAGCGAUCACACUUCUUGACAUAUUCAGCGCAGUCGUGACGCAUGGUAGGCCAGAAGUAUCCUAUGUUUAGAGCUUUCUGGGCGAGUGACCUGCCCCCAGAGUGGUUGCCACACUCGCCGUCGUGAAUUUUACAGAGAACCUCAAGUGUUUGAGGGUACUUUAUGCAGGUGAGAUGAGGGCCGGAGUAUGAUCUGUGGAUGAGCUUGGUACCGUGCAUGUAGUAUCUCGCGGCCUUCUGCUGGACCUUUCUAGCUUCGGACUUGUCCGGUGGCAGGUUUCCAUUCGUCAAAUAGUCGAUGAUGGGGUCUUGCCAACUAGGGUCCUCGUCAAUCUGCAUGGUAUCGAUUAGCUCUAUUUCUUCAAUGCUUGGUCAGUCAAGGUGUUCGACCGGGAUGGAGAGUCUGAACUAGGUAUCUAGCGCUGAUCCUAGGCUUGCCAAUGUGUCUGCAUGAGCGUUCUCUGCCCGGGGCACUUGUUGGAUGGUGAAGGUGGGAAAUGCCUUCAACAGCUCUUGGACUUUGUCAAGGUGCAAGAUCAUCUUUGGGUGCUUUGCCAUGUAUUCACCUGAGGCUUGAUUCGUGAUCAAUUGUGAGUCUGAGUAGAUAGCUAGCUUUUUGAUUGCGAGCUCUUUUGCCAAGCGUAGGCCGGCGAGCAAUGCCUCGUAUUCUGCCUCGUUGUUCGAGGCCGGGAAGCCAAGCAUAAUAGCUUGCUCCAACAGGGUUCCAUUCGGAGUGGUGAUGACGACCCCUGCUCCAGCUCCUCUUUGGUUCGACGUUCCGUCUACGCGCAACUGACACAUGUCUCUGGGUUGGCUAGGUUCUGCGGAGGUCCCGUCUGCUUUUGAACUUUCCCUCUUUUGGUUGACCAACUUCACUUUUUCGGCUUGAUGGGGUGAAUUCUACGAUGAAGUCUGCUAAAGCCUGGGCUUUUAUAGCAGUUUUUGGCCGGUAGAGGAGGUCAUAUUGGCUUAGCUCUAUAGCCCACUUCAUGAGUUGCUGAGAAGCAUCAGGGCUGUGGAGGAUUGAUCUCAAAGGAAAGUCGGUCAUGACGAUGACUCGAUGAGCUUGGUAGUAGGGUCGCAGCUUUCUCGCAGAAACUACAAGAGCCAAAAUAAGUUUCUCCAACUUCGGGUAGCGAGUUUCUGCAUCGAGGAGAGCUUUUGACGUGUAGAAUACCGGAUGUUGGGCCCCCAGCUCUUCUCGAAUGAGAGCUGAACUGAUAGCUGAGUUGGACACUGCCAGCUAUACAAACAAGUUCUCACCAGAGACUGGCUUUGAGAGCAGAGGAGGUGAGUUAAGGCAAGUCUUCAGACUCUGGAAAGCUACUUCGCACUCCUCGUCCCAUUUGUCUCUUUGUCCUUUCUUCAAAGCUUUGAAGAAUGGUCUGCACUUGUCAGUUGAUCUCGAGAGGAAUCGGUUGAGGGCCGCUGCUCUGCCCGUCAGACUUUGUAUUUCCUUCACCGUGGAAGGUGAUUUCAUCUCGAGAAUGGCUUUGAUUUGACGUGGGUGUGCCUCGAUACCUCGUUGCGUGACUAGGUAUCCCAAGAAUCGGCCAGAGGAUACCCCAAACGUGCAUUUACUUGGAUUCAACUUCAUGCAAUAUUGGCGGAGCAAGCUGAAUGACUCAUCAAGAUUUCCAAUGUGAUCUGCACGUUUUGGGGCUUUGACCAGCAUGUCAUCCACGUAGACCUCCAUAGUUUUGCCGAUCUGCUCCUUGAAGAUUUUAUUUACAAGCCUUUGAUAGGUUGCUCCGGCGUUCUUCAGCCCAAAGGGCAUGACCUUGUAGCAGUAGGUCCCUCUCUCGAUGAUGAAAGAAGUUUUCGCCUUGUCAUCCUCGUGCAUCAGGAUUUGGUUAUAGCCGGAGUAGGCGUCCAUGAAGCUGAGCAGCUGAUUGCCCGAAGUGGAAUCCACGAGUUGGUCGAUUCUCGGCAAUGGGAAGUUGUCUUUAAGGCAUGCCUUGUUGAGGUCUGUGUAAUCGACGCAAACUCUUCAUUUACCCUUUUCUUGUUUUGCCACCAAAACAACGUGGCAAGCCAUUCUGAGUAGGAGACCUCUUCGAUGAAGCCGGCAGCUAGGAGUUUGUCAAUCUCAGCUUCGAUGAUAGCGACUCGCUUGGGUGCGAAGUUGCAUCUCUUCUGCGCCAGUGGCUUGCAUGCGGGGUUGAUGUGGAGUCGGUGACAAAUGAUGUUCGGGUCAAUGCCAGGCAUGUCUGAUGGCGACCAUGCGAACAUGUCUUUGUUCCUCUGGAGGAAUGUGGUAAGCUCCACAUUUUCUUCUGGGCUUCAGCGCGAGCCGAUCUGCGCUUUCCUGUCUGGCUGGUCAAGAUCCAAGGGUAUUAACUCGACGUCCUCCUCGGGUUUCCAUCCUUCUUCCGGAAAGACCUCUGGACAGAUUUCCUCAGCUUGGCCCUGACGCUUUGAUUUCUAUAAGAUAGCAAGAUUCGGUUGCUCAACCUCCUCCAGAUCCGCCUGGCUCACAGGGAGAAACUACGCUUGUUUGCCUUUCUUCAGCCCUUGGGCGGAGCAUUUCCUCGCCAUUGCUUGAUCGCUGUUGAUUUGGCCGACACCUCCCGUAGGGAUUGGGUACCGAAUUUUCUGAUGUGUGGCGGAGGUGAUGGCAUUGAUCUUGCCAAUCCAUGGUCUGCCCAGGAUACCGUUGUAAGGUGAGACCUCAUUAAUGACCAUGAAUGUUUGCAAGCUGAUCACCAGUGGGGAGUAAACGUCGAGGUCUAUCGUGCCCACGGUAAUCGUUGUUGCACCAUUAAAACCAGUCAGCAAUCUGACUAACUUGUUGAUCUUUGUCUCCAAGCCCAUCUGUUGGAUGACCGCCAGUUGUAGGAUAUUGGCUGCGCUGCCCUCAUCUGCAUGGAUUCGGUCGACCAUGGCCUGAGCGAUUUGAAUGCUGAUGACAAGUGCGUCGUUAUGUGGCGUGUCGAGGCCGAUCAGAUCUUUCUUUUGGAAGCCGAUCACAGGAUCGUCUUCUGCUAGUGGAGGGUCGAUCGAGACUUGGGAGAUCACAGUGGCCUGUUUGAUCUUCCUCUUCUUUUCUUUGCUGGUCAGCCCAGACUCCUCGAAGUCGGCUAGGAUUGUGUUAAUCCUUAUGACCUUCUGAGGCGGCUCCUUGGCGGUGUCUCGAUCUUCAAUCCGUUGGAUGGCCUGCUUCGCAACGAAUUCAGUGCAGUGGCCUUCUCUCAUGAGUUCUUCAAGAUGCGCUUUCCAAGCGGAGCAGUUGUUCGUAGUGUGCUCGUGCGUUUCAUGGAUGGCAUAGUAUUUGCUAGUGUCCCUCUUGUCCGGAUCUCCCUUCAAAGGUGGUGGUCUUCUUACCCAAGGUUUGUUCUUCACUUGGGCCAAGAUUUGAUGUAUGGGGAUGGUGAACUUGGUGUAGUUCUCUCCUCCCGUAGCCUCCCCUUGUGGGUGCGACCUACGCUUGUCUUUGUUUCGGUUGUUAAAUCCGUCGCCUCUUUGACCUGCCCGCUUAGUUGGCUGAUCUUCCUGCUUUGUAGACUUCUUUGCGGCGAUUCGAUCGUCAUCCCAGAGCGCGUAGCGUUCCGCAGUCUCGUAGACCUCUGCCAGCGUCUGGCUGGGAGUGAUAGUUAGCUCGUGGUACAAGUCGUGCUCAGCUGGAAGGCCUUUCUUGAAAGUGGAGGACGCGAUUCGGUCGUCACAUCCUACAAUGUUUGCCUUUUCUGCCUUGAAUCUCUUGAUGUAACCUCGAAGGGAUUCGUCAGACUUCUUGCGCAGGUUGUACAGGUGGUCAAGGUUCUUCUUGAUUGUCCGGUAAGAGGUGUAUUCUUUGGUGAAGACGUAAGCUAGCUCCUUGAAGCUGCUGAUCGACCUGGAUGGUAGGGUGUGGAACCAGUCUUGGGCUGCUCCUCGCAAGGUUAUCGUAAAUACCUUGCACAUUAGCGCGCCGUCAGCCUGGUGGAGGAUUAUAACACUUUUGAAGUGUUUUAAGUGGCUCUCGGGAUCGGAAUCCCCUUUGAAGUGUAUGAACGAGGGUGUCGAGAAUUGCUUCGGGUGAGCGGCCUGCUCGAUAUCGAGGGUGAAAGGCGUAGAGCUCACCUGGUCCAUCUCCUUACGUAGUGAAUCCUCGAAGUUUCCUCCGGUCUUCAAGUCUCGAAGUCGGUCAUUCACGAGCUUCUCAACGUCUUCUGUGCACAUUGCUGGUCGGUUAUGUUGGCGACCUCCACGAUAUUGACUGACUUCCUCAUUGUCCUCCGAGGGUCGACCUUCUCGCCUGAGCUGCCUAGUUGAAGUGUUGGUGGACUGCGCCUGCGAAAGAUUCUCUAUAGCUUGUCGACGAGAAUUGGUUCUUCGAGAGUGAGUAACGGAGCGUCUUUCCUCAUGGUCCUCAUUGUGAGGGUUAUCCAACUGGCCUCCCUGGGGGCCUAGCCUUUUGAGAGCGCUUCUCUGUGAGUUGACAGCUGAGCGCCUUUCUUCGCGAUCCUCAUUGCGAUGGUUGUUUGGCUGACCUCCUUGGGGGCCUAGCCUUUGAUGUACAUUUCCCUAGGGGCCCAAGCGGGCGCGGACGUUGAGUCGUCUACCGGCGCGUUCGUCCAUCCUUCUCUCCUUGCCCGGUGGUCCAUGGCCAAGGUUCUGAGCAAAGCCUAUUUGGUUGAUGAGCUGCCUCAUUAGAUUGCUUUGGUCGUCCACUCUCUGAGCUAGCUGGUCAACUCUUAGAUUAAGGUCUGCUUGACUUCGUGGAUCGGGAGGAGAGAAGUGUGUGGAGCCCAACUGCACACGGGCUAGGUUUUCAUUGGAGGUGUAUGCAGGAGCGUGCGUUGCGCGUGGAGGCAAUGGAGGGAAUGCUUGGAGUUGCUCCAAGACCGGCCCUAGGUCGGCAGUGGUAACGAGUCCACCUUGAUGGGAAGUUCCGCCAGGUUCGACGGCGAUGGCCGGUGCUGUGGUGAGAGGUGGCGGUGCCACCAUGUCGAUCGCGGGAUCGUGGGUGGAGUGGCUUUGGGUCGUCGCGGAUCUAACCAUCGCGGCGGCUUUGCCUCUUGUGUUCAUGCUUCCAACCAUGGUUGUUUGGAAGGCUUCGGUGGAUUGAAAAAUAGGAGGAACGGAUUCCUUGAGCACGCAUUGAGUAUACCUCGUGCUCUCAAUGAAAGCACCAAUUUGAGGGAGCAAAUUUCCCCACGAGAAUAUUCGCCCAAGAUUCCUUCGUCUUCUCCGCCUCUCUUUCUCCCUGCAAAACAGAUCGGAGUAAAAGACCACACCCGGGGGGUGUUGGCCAAAGGCCCUCCGAUGCCUAAGUUAGGUAGGGUAAUUCAAGGAAAACCGGGUGGCCGGAGCCGUGUGUGGUGGCCGGAGCCUUGUGUAAGAGAGAGAAAGAGAGGAGGUGGCUAGGGUUUUUGAGAAAUAAUUUCUGCAGAGCUUUAGUAAGAAUUUAGGCGUACCUCAACCAUUGUGUGUGGCUAUGCUUUUAUAGUAGUCUCGAAGGCUAGGGUUUCAGAGGAAUAAUUCCGUAGAUGGAAGGGAAUUAUUCCUCCCCUUUUUGGAAUUGAUUUGAUUAAUUAGGGAUUUGAUUAAUUAGGGUAAAUCAAAUCCCUAAUUGUGGUAGGUAUCAAAUCAAAUCCUGAUUCAAUUAGGCAACUCCUCAUUUAAUUGGGGAUCGUGGUAAUUAACCAAAUCAAUUCUCAACCUAAUUAGGUAAUGUUCAAUUUAAUUGGGUAAUUCCCAAUUAAAUUGAGUAAUUCCCAAUUAAAUCGAGUAACUCCCAAUUAGGUUGAUUAAUUCCCAAUUGGGUCAAAUAAUCCCCAAAUGGUAGGAAUUAUUUGACCUAUGGUUUGAUUUAAUUAGGUUCCCACAGGAACCAUGUAAAAAGUUAUAUGGUAAGCAUUUUAAUCAAAUUCUUGUGCAAAUCUACUACCACUUGGGGAUUAAAUAUAUAACAAGAGCUACAAGAAGACAAUACUAUAAAGCAAACCAUAAGACAAGAAAGGAUAAUGAUUUCAAAUAGAUUGUACAUUGCUCCUGGAGAACAAUAAAGAAGUUUACAUAGGUUUAAAAGACAGAAUUUGACUGCCCUUGGGUGGGGGGAUGAUAUUUGGAACAAUGGUUCUAGGGAAUUCAUGAUAUUAUCACUUGUCUGCUUCAUAAAUUUCUAUGUUUCUGCUCAGCCUAGAAGCAGUUUCAGGAUUUGAGAAGGUUUGCUUUCACCACAAGAUGUGAGUUGAUUCCAUGGAUGAGCAGUGGUAGCCUCUUCUUCAUCCCAACUCAGUGAGUUCUGAAAUGAGGAUGCUUUGGAUAUAAUCAUAUCCAAAUUCUUUCAUCUUGGCUCAGUGAGCUCUGAAAUGAGGAUGGUUCGGAUAGAUUGGAUGACCGAUUCGUAUACACUCACACACUCAAGCGGGAAGUGAGAUCAAGGAAGGUGUUUUCACUGCAGGGGAUUGUGAUACCUCCCAUGGGAUGAUCAUAUCCGAAUUCUUCUUCAGCUUGACUCAGCAAAUCCAGGAAUAAAGGCUCAUUCAAAUAUGAUAUCGGAAUCACAAACCGCUUCUUCUGGCUCUCCCCAACAUAGACUGCAAGGUAGCCUUUUGGGAUAUCUAAAGUCUUUGAAUCUGCUGUCUGGCUUGAACUAGAUAGAGAUCGAAUGAGACUUCUCUUUGCAUUAACAAUUGCAGGCAACCGGAAACCCAUGAUCUUAUAUAUUCUCAAAGGACAAAAGAAGAGAGGGAAUUCAAAGGACUUGG